GAUGAAGAACGCAGCGAAAUGCGAUAAGUAAUGCGAAUUGCAGAAUUUCCGUGAGUCAUCGAAUCUUUGAACGCACAUUGCGCCCCUUGGUAUUCCGAGGGGCAUGCCUGUUCGAGCGUCAUUAUAACCCUCAAGCUCAGCUUGGUGUUGGGGCCUGCUGCACUGGCAGCCCUUAAAAUCAGUGGCGGCGCCAUCUGGCUCUAAGCGUAGUAAUUCUUCUCGCUAUGGAGUCCUGGUGGAUGCUUGCCAUCAACCCCCAAUUUUUCUAUGGUUGACCUCGGAUCAGGUAGGGAUACCCGCUGAACUUAAGCAUAUCAAUAAGCGGAGGA
Molecule: unclassified non-coding RNA, 329 nt
Filed under: soil metagenome
Description: partial contains 5.8S ribosomal RNA, internal transcribed spacer 2, and large subunit ribosomal RNA
Rfam family: 5.8S ribosomal RNA (bases 1-121)
Source: RNAcentral